CACCUGAUAAGCUUGCAGCUAUUCCAGCAUCAGAACGUUUUGGAGCUGCUGAAACAUUACCAAACAACAUUUCAAAUUGCUGCGGUGUUGACGGGGAGGGUUUACGUUCCCCGUGUGAGGCCUUGCGGUGUUCGUUUUGGGGUCUCCAUUCCAUGACUCUCACGUGCACGGGGACCGGUCCACAGCUCAAGGAACGGAUUGAAGUACAACG
RNAcentral lists this long non-coding RNA (211 nucleotides) under Volvox carteri. Its description in RNAcentral is "long non-coding RNA (VCAR_LNC000897)". Lineage: Eukaryota; Viridiplantae; Chlorophyta; Chlorophyceae; Chlamydomonadales; Volvocaceae. The record is from RNAcentral.